AGGUGUUGUUGGGUAGGGGAGCGUUCUGUAAGCCUGUGAAGGUGGCCUGUGAGGGUUGCUGGAGGUAUCAGAAGUGCGAAUGCUGACAUAAGUAACGAUAAAGCGGGUGAAAAGCCCGCUCGCCGGAAGACCAAGGGUUCCUGUCCAACGUUAAUCGGGGCAGGGUGAGUCGACCCCUAAGGCGAGGCCGAAAGGCGUAGUCGAUGGGAAACGGGUUAAUAUUCCCGUACUUGGUGUUACUGCGAAGGGGGGACGGAGAAGGCUAUGUUGGCCGGGCGACGGUUGUCCCGGUUUAAGCGUGUAGGUGUGUGUUCCAGGUAAAUCCGGUUCACUUUAACACUGAGGCGUGACGACGAGGCACUACGGUGCUGAAGCAACAAAUGCCCUGCUUCCAGGAAAAGCCUCUAAGCAUCAGGUAACAUCAAAUCGUACCCCAAACCGACACAGGUGGUCAGGUAGAGAAUACCAAGGCGCUUGAGAGAACUCGGGUGAAGGAACUAGGCAAAAUGGUGCCGUAACUUCGGGAGAAGGCACGCUGACACGUAGGUGAAGUGAUUUACUCAUGGAGCUGAAGUCAGUCGAAGAUACCAGCUGGCUGCAACUGUUUAUUAAAAACACAGCACUGUGCAAACACGAAAGUGGACGUAUACGGUGUGACGCCUGCCCGGUGCCGGAAGGUUAAUUGAUGGGGUCAGCGCAAGCGAAGCUCCUGAUCGAAGCCCCGGUAAACGGCGGCCGUAACUAUAACGGUCCUAAGGUAGCGAAAUUCCUUGUCGGGUAAGUUCCGACCUGCACGAAUGGCGUAAUGAUGGCCAGGCUGUCUCCACCCGAGACUCAGUGAAAUUGAACUCGCUGUGAAGAUGCAGUGUACCCGCGGCAAGACGGAAAGACCCCGUGAACCUUUACUAUAGCUUGACACUGAACAUUGAGCCUUGAUGUGUAGGAUAGGUGGGAGGCUUUGAAGUGUGGACGCCAGUCUGCAUGGAGCCGACCUUGAAAUACCACCCUUUAAUGUUUGAUGUUCUAACGUGGACCCGUAAUCCGGGUUGCGGACAGUGUCUGGUGGGUAGUUUGACUGGGGCGGUCUCCUCCUAAAGAGUAACGGAGGAGCACGAAGGUUGGCUAAUCCUGGUCGGACAUCAGGAGGUUAGUGCAAUGGCAUAAGCCAGCUUGACUGCGAGCGUGACGGCGCGAGCAGGUGCGAAAGCAGGUCAUAGUGAUCCGGUGGUUCUGAAUGGAAGGGCCAUCGCUCAACGGAUAAAAGGUACUCCGGGGAUAACAGGCUGAUACCGCCCAAGAGUUCAUAUCGACGGCGGUGUUUGGCACCUCGAUGUCGGCUCAUCACAUCCUGGGGCUGAAGUAGGUCCCAAGGGUAUGGCUGUUCGCCAUUUAAAGUGGUACGCGAGCUGGGUUUAGAACGUCGUGAGACAGUUCGGUCCCUAUCUGCCGUGGGCGCUGGAGAACUGAGGGGGGCUGCUCCUAGUACGAGAGGACCGGAGUGGACGCAUCACUGGUGUUCGGGUUGUCAUGCCAAUGGCACUGCCCGGUAGCUAAAUGCGGAAGAGAUAAGUGCUGAAAGCAUCUAAGCACGAAACUUGCCCCGA
This 1604-nucleotide ribosomal RNA is filed under the name Salmonella enterica. Its description in RNAcentral is "partial 23S ribosomal RNA". It matches the Rfam family "Bacterial large subunit ribosomal RNA", at positions 1216 to 2802 of the family's 2925-position model. Lineage: Bacteria; Pseudomonadati; Pseudomonadota; Gammaproteobacteria; Enterobacterales; Enterobacteriaceae. RNAcentral also lists the same sequence under 1 other name. The record is from RNAcentral.